CCUACGGGAGGCAGCAGUGGGGAAUAUUGCACAAUGGGGGAAACCCUGAUGCAGCGACGCCGCGUGAGUGAAGAAGUAUUUCGGUAUGUAAAGCUCUAUCAGCAGGGAAGAAAAUGACGGUACCUGAUUCAGAAGCCCCGGCUAACUACGUGCCAGCAGCCGCGGUAAUACGUAGGGGGCAAGCGUUAUCCGGAUUUACUGGGUGUAAAGGGAGCGUAGACGGCAGCACAAGUCUGGAGUGAAAUGCCGGGGCUUAACCCCGGAACUGCUUUGGAAACUGUGCAGCUAGAGUGCAGGAGAGGUAAGUGGAAUUCCUAGUGUAGCGGUGAAAUGCGUAGAUAUUAGGAGGAACACCAGUGGCGAAGGCGGCUUACUGGACUGCAACUGACGUUGAGGCUCGAAAGCGUGGGGAGCAAACAGGAUUAGAUACCCCAGUAGUC
This 440-nucleotide ribosomal RNA is filed under the name uncultured bacterium. RNAcentral describes it as "partial 16S ribosomal RNA". It matches the Rfam family "Bacterial small subunit ribosomal RNA", at positions 338 to 795 of the family's 1533-position model. The record is from RNAcentral.